AGCAAAGAGGAAAAAGGGAAUAGGGGACAGCAGAGAACACAAAAAGAGGGCGGGUAAAAAUGGGGUACAGGGAUAGAAGAAAGGGGAC
Tympanuchus pallidicinctus (lesser prairie-chicken) is the source of this 88-nucleotide long non-coding RNA. RefSeq lists it as uncharacterized. The record is from RefSeq and is a predicted model, not a curated record. The transcript has 2 exons. NCBI's taxonomy places the organism in Eukaryota, Metazoa, Chordata, Aves, Galliformes, Phasianidae.